This 253-nucleotide ribosomal RNA is filed under the name uncultured bacterium. RNAcentral describes it as "partial 16S ribosomal RNA". It matches the Rfam family "Bacterial small subunit ribosomal RNA", at positions 524 to 776 of the family's 1533-position model. The record is from RNAcentral.
UACGGGGGGGGCAAGCGUUGUUCGGAAUUACUGGGCGUAAAGGGCUCGUAGGUGGCCAACUAAGUCGGACGUGAAAUCCCUCAGCUUAACUGGGGAACUGCAUCCGAUACUGGAUGGCUCGAGUUUGGGAGAGGGAUGCGGAAUUCCAGGUGUAGCGGUGAAAUGCGUAGAUAUCUGGAGGAACACCGGUGGCGAAGGCGGCAUCCUGGACCAACACUGACACUGAGGAGCGAAAGCCAGGGGAGCAAACGGG